AUGGCCGUUUCCACCGUUCUGCCCGAGCGCUCGUGCGCCGGCACGCAGCGAGCAACCACUGCUGGUCACGCACGCCCCGCCGGCCCCCCGGCCCCUUCCACCGUGGCCGCGGUGCUCCCAGCCCCAGGAGCCCCGGCGCUCGCCCCGGGCAGCGCCAUGCACGAGCCGCCCUGCCGUGGGCAGCGCCGAGCGCACUCAGCCCUCACCAGCCUGGCGUCUCCUCCCCCCGCCGGUGCAGGGGCUGGAGGAGGCAGCACGCGCCGCGGGCCGGCUGCACCCCUCGGUGCACCGCUCGCCCCUGGUGCCCGGCACCCACCUCCGCCCCGGCGAGCCGGGACCCCCGGGAGCAGCAGCRGGAAGGGGCGGGCUGCAGCUCGGGGCUGCUUUCGGCGGGGAGCAUCUCCCGCGCUGCCGGGCACGGGGGCCCCGGUGGGCCGCGUCUCGGUGCCUCCGGCUGCUCCGCCGGGACUGGCACAGGCACCGAGGGKCUUGAUGCCGCCCCGUCCCCACGUGCCGGGGGGACCAGCCAGAGGUGCUGGACUGCCAGCACAGCCCAGCAGCCGGGAGAGCAGCGUGGGCACACCGCCGUGGGGGCUCUGGACGGCACGGCCCGCCCUGCCCCACACCUCCCGGCUCCUCUGCCGUCCCUGCUCACGCCUCUCCGCGGGCGCCGGCCCUGCUGGAGCCCCCAGCUGCCUGCCGGGGACACGGCCCCGCUCGCCGCAGCCAGCCUACGUGACGGCGCCGCAGCCUCCCGCCCGGCCCCGCACAGGAAUGACCCCGGGCGGCAGCGCCGCGACGCGCUCCGCUGACCCGGACCGCGCUCGCCCACCACGACCCGGCCAGGCUCCAGGCUCCAGGGGCGGCGGGACGCGGGACGGCGCCGGCUCUCGGCAAGGGCAGACCCCCGGCGCGCCCUCCCGCAACGCCCCUGUGCAGCUCCUCUCCCUGCGGCUGCCUGAUCGCUUUCCGCACGCCRGCAGCCUUCGGCGCCUGCUCCGUCACCGGGAGCCCACCCUGCCUCUGCCCGCCUGCUCCCCGGCUCCCACCGCUGCCACGGGGCCGGCACGGGAAGGGUCUUCCCGACGCCCCGGCCUCCCCCUGGGAGCUCCAGCCCCUGUCCCAGGCAUCGGGGCGGCCGCCGCGCCACCAUGCGCCACGUUCCCGGGYGGGCGGCUGCUGGGCGGCUCCGGUCCCUGCGCUGGCUGCGCCCCAGCCGCCGGGGCUGCGCCGGGGCCGYGGUCAAUGAUUUCUCAGGCAACCGCACGUCGUGGGGCCGCGGCCGCCUCGGGCAGGGCUGUGACCUGCCGCGCCGCGUUCGGCACCCGAAGGCCGGCGCGCGGCGGCCCCUCCCCGGCCCGCGGGGAUAUAAACGCCACCGCCGCGCCACGCCGGCAGUGCAGCAUCCUCCGGCAGCGCCAUGAGGACCGCGGGCGUCUUGCUGGUGGGCGUCCUCGCCCUGUGCGCGCAGCCGGCCGCAGGAGCACCGGUGGACGGGGGUGA
RNAcentral lists this long non-coding RNA (1503 nucleotides) under Apteryx haastii (Great spotted kiwi). RNAcentral's name for it is "lncRNA (ENSAHAG00000016679.1)". Lineage: Eukaryota; Metazoa; Chordata; Aves; Apterygiformes; Apterygidae. The record is from RNAcentral.